This 1489-nucleotide ribosomal RNA is filed under the name metagenome. RNAcentral describes it as "bacterial SSU rRNA". It matches the Rfam family "Bacterial small subunit ribosomal RNA". The record is from RNAcentral.
AGAGUUUGAUCCUGGCUCAGGAUGAACGCUGGCGGCGUGCUUAACACAUGCAAGUCGAACGAAGCACUUAAGAUUGAUUCUUCGGAUGAAGUCUUUUGUGACUGAGUGGCGGACGGGUGAGUAACGCGUGGGUAACCUGCCUCAUACAGGGGGAUAACAGUUAGAAAUGACUGCUAAUACCGCAUAAGCGCACGGUGUCGCAUGACACAGUGUGAAAAACUCCGGUGGUAUGAGAUGGACCCGCGUCUGAUUAGCUAGUUGGUGAGGUAACGGCCCACCAAGGCGACGAUCAGUAGCCGACCUGAGAGGGUGAUCGGCCACAUUGGGACUGAGACACGGCCCAAACUCCUACGGGAGGCAGCAGUGGGGAAUAUUGCACAAUGGGGGAAACCCUGAUGCAGCGACGCCGCGUGAAGGAAGAAGUAUUUCGGUAUGUAAACUUCUAUCAGCAGGGAAGAAAAUGACGGUACCUGACUAAGAAGCCCCGGCUAACUACGUGCCAGCAGCCGCGGUAAUACGUAGGGGGCAAGCGUUAUCCGGAUUUACUGGGUGUAAAGGGAGCGUAGGCGGUCUGACAAGUCAGAAGUGAAAGCCCGGGGCUCAACUCCGGGACUGCUUUUGAAACUGCCGGACUAGAUUGCAGGAGAGGUAAGUGGAAUUCCUAGUGUAGCGGUGAAAUGCGUAGAUAUAUGGAGGAACACCGGUGGCGAAAGCGGCUCUCUGGUCUGUAACUGACGCUGAGGCUCGAAAGCGUGGGGAGCGAACAGGAUUAGAUACCCUGGUAGUCCACGCCGUAAACGAUGAGUGCUAGGUGUUGGAUCCUUUCCGGGAUUCAGUGCCGCAGCUAACGCAUUAAGCACUCCGCCUGGGGAGUACGACCGCAAGGUUGAAACUCAAAGGAAUUGACGGGGGCCCGCACAAGCGGUGGAGCAUGUGGUUUAAUUCGAAGCAACGCGAAGAACCUUACCAGGUCUUGACAUCCCGAUGCUAUUUCUAGAGAUAGAAAGUUACUUCGGUACAUCGGUGACAGGUGGUGCAUGGUUGUCGUCAGCUCGUGUCGUGAGAUGUUGGGUUAAGUCCCGCGACGAGCGCAACCCCUAUUGUUAGUUGCCAUCAUUCAGUUGGGCACUCUAGCGAGACUGCCGGUAAUAAACCGGAGGAAGGUGGGGAUGACGUCAAAUCAUCACGCCCCUUAUGACCUGGGCUACACACGUGCUACAAUGGUUGGUACAACGAGUUGCGAGUCGGUGACGGCAAGCUAAUCUCUUAAAGCCAAUCUCAGUUCGGAUUGUAGGCUGCAACUCGCCUACAUGAAGUCGGAAUCGCUAGUAAUCGCGGAUCAGCACGCCGCGGUGAAUACGUUCCCGGGCCUUGUACACACCGCCCGUCACACCACGAGAGUUUGUAACACCCGAAGUCGGUGAGGUAACCUUUUGGAGCCAGCCGCCUAAGGUGGGAUAGAUGAUUGGGGUGAAGUCGUAACAAGGUA